Molecule: ribosomal RNA, 450 nt
Filed under: uncultured Paraglomus
Lineage: Eukaryota; Fungi; Glomeromycota; Glomeromycetes; Paraglomerales; Paraglomeraceae
Description: SSU rRNA
Rfam family: Eukaryotic small subunit ribosomal RNA
Source: RNAcentral
AGCAGCCGCGGUAAUUCCAGCUCCAAUAGCGUAUAUUAAAGUUGUUGCAGUUAAAAAGCUCGUAGUUGAACUUCAGGCCUGGCUGGACGGUCCGCCCUCUGGGGUGAGCACUGUCUGUGGUCGGGUCCUACCUUCUGGCGAAGCGGCAUGGCCUUAACCGGCCGUGGCGGGGAACCAGGACUUUUACUGUGAAAAAAUUAGAGUGUUCAAAGCAGGCACGCGCUUGAAUACAUUAGCAUGGAAUAAUGGAAUAGGACAAUGGUUCUAUUUGUUGGUUUCUAGGACCGUUGUAAUGAUUAAUAGGGAUAGUUGGGGGCAUUAGUAUUCAAUUGUCAGAGGUGAAAUUCUUGGAUUUAUUGAAGACUAACUACUGCGAAAGCAUUUGCCAAGGAUGUUUUCAUUAAUCAAGAACGAAAGUUAGGGGAUCGAAGACGAUCAGAUACCGUCGUA